Molecule: transfer RNA, 80 nt
Filed under: Patescibacteria group bacterium
Lineage: Bacteria
Description: tRNA-Met
Rfam family: tRNA
About the family: Transfer RNA (tRNA) molecules are approximately 80 nucleotides in length.
Source: RNAcentral
CGCGGGGGAGUGAAACGGAUAUUUUAUAUCACAUCAGGCUCAUAACCUGGGAAUAGUGGGUUCGACUCCCACCUCCGCAA